Molecule: unclassified non-coding RNA, 207 nt
Filed under: Hevea brasiliensis (rubber tree)
Lineage: Eukaryota; Viridiplantae; Streptophyta; Magnoliopsida; Malpighiales; Euphorbiaceae
Source: RNAcentral
CGGCGACCUUAAGAGUGUUAGAGGUAUCAUUUGUGAAGUUGGUGCUGGUGCUUCUGCAGGUGCCAUUGCUGCUACAUUUAUGUGUCCAUUGGAUGUUAUUAAGACAAGACUGCAAGUACAUGGUCUGCCUCAGGUUUCUCAAUCUGCUCGUCAAGGUAGUGUCAUUGUCACAAGCUUACAGAAUAUACUAAGAACAGAAGGUUUCAG